AUGAGCUCUUUCACUGGGAGCGGGGAAGGGAUACAGCACAUCACUGGAGAGUGGUGUGGCCCUCAGGGCUCUGUGUCACCAGGAGGGGCUGGAGGAGCUGCAGCUUCAUCUCCAUGGCAGGGAAGUGGUUCCAGUGCCCUGGAAGAGCCUGGGAAGGGGUUAAACCACACUGCAGACAGAGGAAACCUUUGUCCCUGCAAUGUCCCACCAGCCCAGAGCGAGGGAAAAGCCUUUCCUCAGCCCUGGGCUGAGAUGAAUUCUGAUCCCAAAUGCCACAGGAUGAGCAGAGAGGAAUGGCCCUGUCCUGCUGCCCCAGGGGUCUUGGCCCCCGUCAGCCACCAGACAGAGUCCACCAUCCCUGUUCCAGCCCUGGCCCAUUUCAUUCCAUCCCUGCUCCAAGCCUGAUUCAUCCCCAGGGGAGCACCUGCCCGAGCCGCCUUCCUCUGCUGGCAAUUCCCACCCCUUCUCUCCUUCCCAACUCUCUGCUUGGCCCCUGUGGAAGAGGAGCAUUGACAGGAGAGUCCUGCCAGGCCAUGGAAGUGCUCCCCACGAGUUUCAAAGCCACAACAGCUCAGUUCAGCCAGUUUUAACUCUGGCCUGACGCAGCCCCACGUCUCCAGGCACAAAUCAGACUGUUCUGGUGACAGCAGAGACACUUGGGGGCCAAUUUGUGGCAGUGAAAGGAUCAGCCCCAGGAAAUAUUCUCCAAUUCCAGAGCCAUUGGUUCAUCCAGCCAGCUGUGGAUUCACUGGGGUCUGAUAUGGGAUGUUCCCAGAGAAGAAAAAUUUGUAGUGGGGCAAAUGAGAGGGUGAAUUAGGGCCAGCAUCCUCAUGCUGGGAUUUAGGAAUUCCACCUGGACUGCUUGGCUGUGUGGCCAGCCCAUGCCAGCAGGAUUCUGGAGGCUCCCAGCCUGCAGACAAGCAGCAGCAAGGCUGGCAGCAGACACAAUUUGUGGCUGGCUAUUUGCUGUUGUCACUCCAACCAUUCCACCUGACGAGGCAAUAAAGAUGAAAGCCAAUAAUAAGCA
Molecule: long non-coding RNA, 1027 nt
Organism: Parus major (Great Tit)
Lineage: Eukaryota; Metazoa; Chordata; Aves; Passeriformes; Paridae
Source: Ensembl